RNAcentral lists this ribosomal RNA (484 nucleotides) under uncultured bacterium. Its description in RNAcentral is "partial 16S ribosomal RNA". It matches the Rfam family "Bacterial small subunit ribosomal RNA", at positions 30 to 507 of the family's 1533-position model. The record is from RNAcentral.
AUUGAACGCUGGCGGCAGGCCUAACACAUGCAAGUCGAGCGGAUGAAGGGAGCUUGCUCCUGGAUUCAGCGGCGGACGGGUGAGUAAUGCCUAGGAAUCUGCCUGGUAGUGGGGGAUAACGUCCGGAAACGGGCGCUAAUACCGCAUACGUCCUGAGGGAGAAAGUGGGGGAUCUUCGGACCUCACGCUAUCAGAUGAGCCUAGGUCGGAUUAGCUAGUUGGUGGGGUAAAGGCCUACCAAGGCGACGAUCCGUAACUGGUCUGAGAGGAUGAUCAGUCACACUGGAACUGAGACACGGUCAAGACUCCUACGGGAGGCAGCAGUGGGGAAUAUUGGACAAUGGGCGAAAGCCUGAUCCAGCCAGGCCGCGUGUGUGAAGAAGGUCUUCGGAUUGUAAAGAACUUUAAGUUGGGAGGAAGGGCAGUAAGUUAAUACCUUGCUGUUUUGACGGUACCAACAGAAUAAGCACCGGCUAACUUCGUG